ACGGGUGAGUAAUGUCUGGGAAACUGCCUGAUGGAGGGGGAUAACUACUGGAACGGUAGCUAAUACCGCAUAACGUCGCAAGACCAAAGAGGGGGACCUUCGGGCCUCUUGCCAUCAGAUGUGCCCAGAUGGGAUUAGCUAGUAGGUGGGGUAACGGCUCACCUAGGCGACGAUCCCUAGCUGGUCUGAGAGGAUGACCAGCCACACUGGAACUGAGACACGGUCCAGACUCCUACGGGAGGCAGCAUG
This 249-nucleotide ribosomal RNA is filed under the name uncultured bacterium. RNAcentral's name for it is "partial 16S ribosomal RNA". It matches the Rfam family "Bacterial small subunit ribosomal RNA", at positions 102 to 353 of the family's 1533-position model. The record is from RNAcentral.